AUUGAACGCUGGCGGCAGGCCUAACACAUGCAAGUCGAGCGGAUGAAGGGAGCUUGCUCCUGGAUUCAGCGGCGGACGGGUGAGUAAUGCCUAGGAAUCUGCCUGGCAGUGGGGGAUAACGUCCGGAAACGGGCGCUAAUACCGUAUACGUCCUGAGGGAGAAAGUGGGGGAUCUUCGGACAUCACGCUAUCAGAUGAGCCUAGGUCGGAUUAGCUAGUUGGUGGGGUAAAGGCCUACCAAGGCGACGAUCCGUAACUGGUCUGAGAGGAUGAUCAGUCACACUGGAACUGAGACACGGUCCAGACUCCUACGGGAGGCAGCAGUGGGGAAUAUUGGACAAUGGGCGAAAGCCUGAUCCAGCCAUGCCGCGUGUGUGAAGAAGGUCUUCGGAUUGUAAAGCACUUUAAGUUGGGAGGAAGGGCAGUAAGUUAAUACCUUGCUGUUUUGACGUUACCAACAGAAUAAGCACCGGCUAACUUCGUG
This 484-nucleotide ribosomal RNA is filed under the name uncultured bacterium. RNAcentral describes it as "partial 16S ribosomal RNA". It matches the Rfam family "Bacterial small subunit ribosomal RNA", at positions 30 to 507 of the family's 1533-position model. The record is from RNAcentral.